This 69-nucleotide transfer RNA is filed under the name Marmota monax (woodchuck). Its description in RNAcentral is "tRNA.Thr". Lineage: Eukaryota; Metazoa; Chordata; Mammalia; Rodentia; Sciuridae. The record is from RNAcentral.
GGGUGUGGUUCAGUGGAAGAGCAUCUACCCAGUAUGCAUGAAGGCCUGGGUUCAAUCCCCAGUACCACA